Molecule: ribosomal RNA, 251 nt
Filed under: uncultured bacterium
Lineage: Bacteria
Description: partial 16S ribosomal RNA
Rfam family: Bacterial small subunit ribosomal RNA
Source: RNAcentral
UACAGAGGUCUCAAGCGUUGUUCGGAAUCACUGGGCGUAAAGGGUGCGUAGGUGGCGUGGCAAGUCAGAUGUGAAAGCCCGGGGCUACAACCUCGGAAUUGCAUCCGAUACUGCCAUGCUGGAGUACUGAAGAGGUGACUAGAAAUUCUCGGUGUAGCAGUGAAAUGCGUAGAUAUCGAGAGGAAUACCAAAGGCGAAGGCAGGUCGACUGGGCAGUUACUGACACUGAGGCACGAAGGCCAGGGGAGCAA